GACGAACGCUGGCGGCGUGCCUAACACAUGCAAGUCGUACGAGAAAGUUGGCUUCGGCCGAUGAGUAAAGUGGCGCACGGGUGAGUAAUGCGUGGAUAAUCUGCCCUUUAGUUGGGAAUAACGUACCGAAAGGUGCGCUAAUACCUGAUAAUACUGCAUAACUACUGUUGUGUAGUCAAAGAAGGCCUCUGUUUACAAGCUUUUGCUGAAGGAUGAGUCCGCGUACCAUUAGCUGGUUGGUGGGGUAAUGGCCUACCAAGGCUACGAUGGUUAGCUGGUCUGAGAGGAUGAUCAGCCACACUGGAACUGAGACACGGUCCAGACUCCUACGGGAGGCAGCAGUGAGGAAUAUUGCGCAAUGGGGGCAACCCUGACGCAGCAACGCCGCGUGAGUGAGGAAGGUUUUCGGACCGUAAAGCUCUGUCGAGCGGGAAGAAAUGUAUCAUGGCUAAUAUCCAUGAUACUUGACGGUACCGCUAAAGGAAGCACC
Molecule: ribosomal RNA, 490 nt
Filed under: uncultured bacterium
Lineage: Bacteria
Description: bacterial SSU rRNA
Rfam family: Bacterial small subunit ribosomal RNA
Source: RNAcentral